Molecule: transfer RNA, 76 nt
Filed under: Escherichia coli
Lineage: Bacteria; Pseudomonadati; Pseudomonadota; Gammaproteobacteria; Enterobacterales; Enterobacteriaceae
Also listed under: 1 other name
Description: tRNA-Asn
Rfam family: tRNA
About the family: Transfer RNA (tRNA) molecules are approximately 80 nucleotides in length. Their secondary structure includes four short double-helical elements and three loops (D, anti-codon, and T loops).
Source: RNAcentral
UCCUCUGUAGUUCAGUCGGUAGAACGGCGGACUGUUAAUCCGUAUGUGACUGGUUCGAGUCCAGUCAGAGGAGCCA